AUGCAGCUGUUCAACGAUUGCAUCGCUGAGCUCGGCCUCCGCGAGCUAGAGCAGACGGGUGCCAGGUUCACCAGGACAAACCGUCAAGCGGACCCGACGCGAUCCGUCCUGGAUCGCGUCCUAGUUUCACCGGAAUGGGAACUUAGGUGCCCCUUGGCCUCGCUGCCGGCGAUCACCCAGAUCGGGUCCGCCCACGUCCCUCUCCUCCUCUCCACCGCCGACGAGCGCCCCCUCAUCCCGCCGCGGUUUCGGUUUGAGCUCUUUUGGCUCAACCAGGCGGGAUUCCUCGAGGCGGUCGCGGCUAAGUGGAUCGCCGCGCGCUCAUCUCCCCACCGCUCCAUGUCCGCCGUUGACUCGUGGCAGUUUUGUGCCAAGCUCGCUCGCCAAUGUAUGAAGGGGUGGGGCACGAACCUUGGCCGAGACCUCCGCGAACGCAAGAAAGCCCUCCUGACUGCCAUCCAAGCCCUGGACACCCGCGCUGACACUUCCGGGAUCUCCCUGGAUGAGUGGAUGCUGAGAUAUGAUCUCGAGGAUCAGCUCUCGACCAUCUACACGGACGAAGAAGCAUACUGGAGGCUCCGCGACACCCAACGGUGGGUGCUCCGUGGAGACGCUAAUACGGCUUACUUCCAGGCGAUCGCCAAUGGAAGGCGACGAUGGAACUCCAUCCAUUGCUUGUGGGAUGGAGAUUCCCAGCUCGUCCGUCCCUCGGACAUCCGAGUCCACAUAGAUGGCUUUUAUAAAGCCCUAUUUCCCCCCACCCCUCGGGGUGGGGCCACACUAGCCCCCGACACUUGGUCGGCUAACCAGUUAGUGUCCGACGAGGCAAAUGUUGCCUUUCUCUGA
RNAcentral lists this ribosomal RNA (846 nucleotides) under Triticum aestivum (bread wheat). Its description in RNAcentral is "partial small subunit ribosomal RNA". Lineage: Eukaryota; Viridiplantae; Streptophyta; Magnoliopsida; Poales; Poaceae. The record is from RNAcentral.